RNAcentral lists this ribosomal RNA (568 nucleotides) under uncultured Alphaproteobacteria bacterium. RNAcentral describes it as "partial 16S ribosomal RNA". It matches the Rfam family "Bacterial small subunit ribosomal RNA", at positions 1 to 610 of the family's 1533-position model. The record is from RNAcentral. Lineage: Bacteria; Pseudomonadati; Pseudomonadota; Alphaproteobacteria.
CGCCAUGGCGGCCGCGGGAAUUCGAUUAGAGUUUGAUCCUGGCUCAGAGCGAACGCUGGCGGCAGGCUUAACACAUGCAAGUCGAGCGCCUGUAGCAAUACAGGAGCGGCAGACGGGAGAGUAACACGUGGGAACAUACCUUUUGGUUCGGAACAACUGAGGGAAACUUCAGCUAAUACCGGAUAAGCCCUUACGGGGAAAGAUUUAUCGCCGAAAGAUUGGCCCGCGUCUGAUUAGCUAGUUGGUGAGGUAAUGGCUCACCAAGGCGACGAUCAGUAGCUGGUCUGAGAGGAUGAUCAGCCUCAUUGGGACUGAGACACGGCCCAAACUCCUACGGGAGGCAGCAGUGGGGAAUAUUGGACAAUGGGCGCAAGCCUGAUCCAGCCAUGCCGCGUGAGUGAUGAAGGCCUUAGGGUUGUAAAGCUCUUUUAACGGGGAAGAUAAUGACGGUACCCGUAGAAUAAGCCCCGGCUAACUUCGUGCCAGCAGCCGCGGUAAUACGAAUCACUAGUGAAUUCGCGGCCGCCUGCAGGUCGACCAUAUGGGAGAGCUCCCAACGCGUUGGAUG